RNAcentral lists this ribosomal RNA (253 nucleotides) under uncultured bacterium. Its description in RNAcentral is "partial 16S ribosomal RNA". It matches the Rfam family "Bacterial small subunit ribosomal RNA", at positions 524 to 776 of the family's 1533-position model. The record is from RNAcentral.
UACAGAGGUCUCAAGCGUUGUUCGGAUUCAUUGGGCGUAAAGGGUGCGUAGGCGGCGCGGUAAGUCGGGGGUGAAAUCCUGGAGCUCAACUCCAGAACUGCCUUCGAUACUGGAGAGCUUGAGUCCGGGAGAGGUGAGUGGAACUGCGAGUGUAGAGGUGAAAUUCGUAGAUAUUCGCAAGAACACCAGUGGCGAAGGCGGCUCACUGGCCCGGUACUGACGCUGAGGUGCGAAAGCGUGGGGAGCAAACAGG